GUGGACCGUCCCUCCACUCAUCGACCAGUCAGGAGAGCGGACCUAUUAGACUCAACAUCAACACACUGUUAUUUCAUUGUAUAAAUUGGAUGUAUACUAUGUUUCGGGGCUCUCUUCUGCUAGUUCCCUAUGAGCUAAACGAAGGAGUCCGUGCACGCUUUGCCAAAUAUCUUUGUCUCAUAAUAAACUGCCUUACUAUAAACUGAAUCACCCGGUCCAGCGUCUUGACUUGUCUCCUUCUCAAAUAACUAAUCAUCAACAGAAUUGGUAGCAGAGGAUGGUUUCAAACUCCUGAAUUCGGUCCAUUAAUGGUUGAUGUGAGAAGAGACAAGUCCAGGACAAUCUUGUAAGGACGGGUGACCUGUCCGCAGGAGUCAUCGGCGAUUCUGCUUGCCCCGGGAAACUGAUCAACGAGCUCGAUUAAAAAAAAGAUCCGCAAGGUCAAAGAGGGGGAGCUGUUGGGAGACUCGCCACCACUGAAGGUAAAAGUUGGGGACUGGGUGAGGGUCAAAGUCCACAAGAGAAAGUGGCUGGAACCCAGGUGGACUGGGCUGUACGAAGUGAAGGAAGUUACUUCACACUCUGUCCAGGUCAAAGGUAAAUCAGGAGCACCUUGGCACCACCUUACACAUUGCACUCCAGCCCCAACCCCUUCCAGAACUUUGACUGAAACCAGGGCCGAUUUGCGCGCCCUACAUAAAUUUGAUUCCAACCACUGAAACCUUAGUUGGGGAAAAUGGGACAAUGGCUUCCGUUUCCACGACCUAAGGCACCACGCCCAGGGUCGGGGUACAUCCCUCCCUGGGAGAGGCUGGG
RNAcentral lists this long non-coding RNA (816 nucleotides) under Salmo salar (Atlantic salmon). RNAcentral's name for it is "lncRNA (ENSSSAG00000116957.1)". The record is from RNAcentral. Lineage: Eukaryota; Metazoa; Chordata; Actinopteri; Salmoniformes; Salmonidae.